Molecule: ribosomal RNA, 242 nt
Filed under: uncultured bacterium
Lineage: Bacteria
Description: partial 16S ribosomal RNA
Rfam family: Bacterial small subunit ribosomal RNA
Source: RNAcentral
ACGAGUGGCGGACGGGUGAGUAAUGUCUGGGAAACUGCCCGAUGGAGGGGGAUAACUACUGGAAACGGUAGCUAAUACCGCAUAACGUCUUCGGACCAAAGAGGGGGGACCUUCGGGGCCUCUUGCCAUCGGAUGUGCCCAGAUGGGAUUAGCUAGUAGGUGGGGUAACGGCUUACCUAGGCGACGAUCCCUAGCUGGUCUGAGAGGAUGACCAGCCACACUGGAACUGAGACACGGUCCAG